This 337-nucleotide unclassified non-coding RNA is filed under the name soil metagenome. RNAcentral describes it as "partial contains 5.8S ribosomal RNA, internal transcribed spacer 2, and large subunit ribosomal RNA". The stretch from base 1 to 120 matches the Rfam family "5.8S ribosomal RNA", at positions 35 to 154 of the family's 154-position model. The record is from RNAcentral.
GAUGAAGAACGCAGCGAAAUACGAUAAGUAGUGUGAAUUGCAGAAUUCAGUGAAUCAUCGAAUCUUUGAACGCACAUUGCGCCCCUUGGUAUUCCAUGGGGCAUGCCUGUUCGAGCGUCAUUUGUACCUUCAAGCUUUGCUUGGUGUUGGGUGUUUGUCUCGCCUCCGCGUGUAGACUCGCCUCAAAACAAUUGGCAGCCGGCGUAUUGAUUUCGGAGCGCAGUACAUCUCGCGCUUUGCACUCACAACGACGACGUCCAAAAGUACAUUUUUACACUCUUGACCUCGGAUCAGGUAGGGAUACCCGCUGAACUUAAGCAUAUCAAUAAGCGGAGGA